This 1157-nucleotide long non-coding RNA is filed under the name Coturnix japonica (Japanese quail). RNAcentral describes it as "lncRNA (ENSCJPG00005004835.1)". The record is from RNAcentral. Lineage: Eukaryota; Metazoa; Chordata; Aves; Galliformes; Phasianidae.
GUAGGAUAUGUGCAAAGAGCACUGCUGGUGACAAAAAUGUAUCCUCACAGUAAGCCCUGCAGAGAUUUAAAGCUGAAGUCAUAUUCAGAGGAACUGUGGUUUCCCCAGUGCAGAAGAAACUGCUGUCCUGCAAAGGAAAUUCACAUAAGUGAGCAAACUGAGCAAAGACCAGAAGAAACAAAGACCUCUCUCUCAGCAGUUACUAGUGACCCUAAAACCAGAAAAAGUCAUAUACAUUUCCACUCUGGACUCCAUGCUGAUAAUCCUGUGUGGAUUCAACCAUCUUACCGUGUGGGAGAGAGAAAUCCACUCUGCUUUAUCCAAUAGCUCAUUGGAAGGAAUUUUAACGAUGAAGAGAUGUGAGGUCUACUUUUAAAAACUCACUAUCCUUGCAAGUUACUUUACUAUUUCCCUUGAUACCAUCACAUCUCUUGAAAAUUUUAAAAGCAGAACAAUAAGGGCUCAUUUUCCUCUCUUCUUACUAAUAAGUUGGGUUUUGUUUUGUUUUGUUUUGUUUUUUUUUUCCUAUCAGCUCAUUCCUUCAGCCUGUAGAUGGAUACUAGCAUGACCUCACAUAUGAGUAACUCCUCACAGUUUUGAAUCCUCUGCAAAACUGAGGAGGGUACUCUCUGCUUCAUCAUUCAGAUCAUUAACAAAGAUGUGUGACAGGACUUGACCCAGUUCUGACCUCUGAGGAUCUCUGCUCGUUACUGGCUUCCCGAUAAACUUUAUACCACUGAUCACCUCUAUCUGGACCUUUCAACUAGUUUUCAGUCUUCUUCACUGUCUGCUCUUCUAGCCCAUACUUCAACAGUUUUUUUGUAAGAAUUCUGUUCAAAACCAUUUCAAAAAACCAUUUCAAAUUCCCUGCUGAAGGUCCAGGCAGACAAUAUUCUAGUAUCUACCAGUCCAAUCUGCAUUUUGUGGGGAACCAAUUAACUAUGAAUAGUGAUCACACAGUAAAAUGUGAAUCUUCAAAGCUGAAAAUAGCUGAUAAGACUGGACCUGCCUCUACAAUGUGCAGACAGCUGCAUUCAGUGUCUAUGAAUUUGUAAUAAGCACUACUAAGAGCUUCAUAUGCUUCAGAUUACACUAAUUUCCUGCACAGAAGUGUCAAGUAUGUAAUAAAUUGCUAAUUAUCAUUGAGAUAAAAUACA